This 460-nucleotide ribosomal RNA is filed under the name uncultured bacterium. Its description in RNAcentral is "partial 16S ribosomal RNA". It matches the Rfam family "Bacterial small subunit ribosomal RNA", at positions 338 to 795 of the family's 1533-position model. The record is from RNAcentral.
CCUACGGUAGGCAGCAGUGAGGAAUAUUGGUCAAUGGACGCAAGUCUGAACCAGCCAUGCCGCGUGCAGGAAGACGGCUCUAUGAGUUGUAAACUGCUUUUGUACGAGGGUAAACGCAGAUACGCGUAUCUGUCUGAAAGUAUCGUACGAAUAAGGAUCGGCUAACUCCGUGCCAGCAGCAGCGGUAAUACGGAGGAUUCAAGCGUUAUCCGGAUUUAUUGGGUUUAAAGGGUGCGUAGGCGGUCGGAUAAGUUAGAGGUGAAAUCCCGAGGCUCAACGUCGGAAUUGCCUCUGAUACUGUUCGGCUAGAGAGUAGUUGCGGUAGGCGGAAUGUAUGGUGUAGCGGUGAAAUGCUUAGAGAUCAUACAGAACACCGAUUGCGAAGGCAGCUUACCAAGAUACUUCUGACGUUGAGGCACGAAAGCGUGGGGAGCAAACAGGAUUAGAUACCCGGGUAGUC